RNAcentral lists this ribosomal RNA (254 nucleotides) under uncultured bacterium. RNAcentral's name for it is "partial 16S ribosomal RNA". It matches the Rfam family "Bacterial small subunit ribosomal RNA", at positions 524 to 776 of the family's 1533-position model. The record is from RNAcentral.
UACGGGGGGAGCAAGCGUUGUUCGGAUUUACUGGGCGUAAAGGGCGCGUAGGCGGUCGUGACAAGUCACUUGUGAAAUCUCCGGGCUUAACUCGGAACGGUCAAGUGAUACUGUCGGACUAGAGUACAGAAGGGGCAACUGGAAUUCUCGGUGUAGCAGUGAAAUGCGUAGAUAUCAGGAGGAACACCUGCGGCGAAGGCGGGUUGCUGGGCCGACACUGACGCUGAGGCGCGAAAGCCAGGGGAGCGAACGGG